GCAAACAAGUUAUAGCGUUAACUCGUUGUGUGCAACUAAACUCAAAUCUGUUAGUCAGGUGACACGAAGAGGAGCCUUGUCCUGCACAGCACAGGUGAUCCUCAGCGUACAAACGAAAAACACAAGCCAAAGAAAACGACGCAAAUUUGUCACCCAAACUAAGCGAAAACAACAAACACGUCAGUAUAUGUGCUGCCGAAGCAAGCACGAACAUACAGUCUGGACGAGGGCUUGAUAUACCAGUGACUCCCAACUCUGUCUCUCAUAGGUGAUCCUUCGCAAGCUCAUCUCUUCAAGCGUGAUUGGACCGCUCGGUGUGACGAAGAGGAGCUCUUGGUCAUGUCACGCACCCUCCCCCACAGACAGCGCUCCACUUCCCUCCGGGACAAAGGGCGGCCGCAUUCUUCACAGAAAGCAUAAAGGGCUGUAAGACCAGGAAGCUCUCCUUUCAGAACAACAGAGAGAACACUGUGAACCUCAAAGCUCAAACAGUUCAGUUCAGAACAGCCACUGGAAAUAUUCAGUCUGAGGACAAGAUCAAUAUGUGCCUCUACUCCAAAAUCAUGCUUAAUUUAACAUUCUCAUGUAGGCUUAUAAUGUAGUUACAAAAUACUUUUUGAAGCUUAAAAAAAACAUUUUAAAAUGUCUUUAGCU
Long non-coding RNA from Carassius carassius (crucian carp), 654 nucleotides. RefSeq lists it as uncharacterized. The transcript is spliced from 4 exons. Lineage: Eukaryota; Metazoa; Chordata; Actinopteri; Cypriniformes; Cyprinidae. The record is from RefSeq and is a predicted model, not a curated record.